This 509-nucleotide ribosomal RNA is filed under the name Bacillus sp. (in: firmicutes). Its description in RNAcentral is "bacterial SSU rRNA". It matches the Rfam family "Bacterial small subunit ribosomal RNA", at positions 22 to 514 of the family's 1533-position model. Lineage: Bacteria; Bacillati; Bacillota; Bacilli; Caryophanales; Bacillaceae. The record is from RNAcentral.
GCUCAGGACGAACGCUGGCGGCGUGCCUAAUACAUGCAAGUCGAGCGGACAGAUGGGAGCUUGCUCCCUGAUGUUAGCGGCGGACGGGUGAGUAACACGUGGGUAACCUGCCUGUAAGACUGGGAUAACUCCGGGAAACCGGGGCUAAUACCGGAUGGUUGUCUGAACCGCAUGGUUCAGACAUAAAAGGUGGCUUCGGCUACCACUUACAGAUGGACCCGCGGCGCAUUAGCUAGUUGGUGAGGUAACGGCUCACCAAGGCGACGAUGCGUAGCCGACCUGAGAGGGUGAUCGGCCACACUGGGACUGAGACACGGCCCAGACUCCUACGGGAGGCAGCAGUAGGGAAUCUUCCGCAAUGGACGAAAGUCUGACGGAGCAACGCCGCGUGAGUGAUGAAGGUUUUCGGAUCGUAAAGCUCUGUUGUUAGGGAAGAACAAGUGCCGUCAAAUAGGGCGGCACCUUGACGGUACCUAACCAGAAAGCCACGGCUAACUACAUGCCAGCAG